AUACGUAGGGGGCGAGCGUUGUCCGGAAUGAUUGGGCGUAAAGGGCGCGUAGGCGGCCCGGUAAGUCUGGAGUGAAAGUCCUGUUUUUAAGAUGGGAAUUGCUUUGGAUACUGUCGGGCUUGAGUGCAGGAGAGGUAAGUGGAAUUCCCAGUGCAGCGGUGAAAUGCGUAGAGAUUGGGAGGAACACCAGUGGCGAAGGCGACUUACUGGACUGUAACUGACGCUGAGGCGCGAAAGUGUGGGGAGCAAACAGGAUUAGAUACCCUGGUAGUCCACGCUGUAAACGAUGAAUACUAGGUGUGGGGGGACUGACCCCCUCCGUGCCGCAGUUAACACGAUAAGUAUUCCACCUGGGGAGUACGAUCGCAAGAUUGAAACUCAAAUGAAUUGACGGGG
RNAcentral lists this ribosomal RNA (396 nucleotides) under uncultured bacterium. Its description in RNAcentral is "partial 16S ribosomal RNA". It matches the Rfam family "Bacterial small subunit ribosomal RNA", at positions 523 to 918 of the family's 1533-position model. The record is from RNAcentral.